GCGGACACAACACGGAAAAUCUACCAGGUCCAGACAAAGUAAAAAUUGACAGUUUGAGAGCUCUGUCUUGAUCUUUUGGGUAGUAGUGAAGGUCUUAGCUGGUAGAGUGUUUGCCUGCUUGAUUGUGCUAAAGAACAACUUUCCUCAUUGAAGAGCAGUAAUUGCAACGCUCUAUCUCCAACACUGCAGGGGCAAACAAUAUUACCCAACCCUCUCGGUGGGACCAGGAUCUUAUAUAUCCCUCCUCUCUAUAACUAGGCUCUAUUGGGUAAAUCUUAUAGUACGUAAGACUCUCAGCUCUGUUGACCGCUUGAUGUAUUCUGUGC
RNAcentral lists this non-coding RNA (326 nucleotides) under Penicillium nalgiovense. RNAcentral's name for it is "Eukaryotic small subunit ribosomal RNA". It matches the Rfam family "Eukaryotic small subunit ribosomal RNA", at positions 1194 to 1407 of the family's 1831-position model. The record is from Rfam by way of RNAcentral. Lineage: Eukaryota; Fungi; Ascomycota; Eurotiomycetes; Eurotiales; Aspergillaceae.